RNAcentral lists this ribosomal RNA (301 nucleotides) under uncultured bacterium. Its description in RNAcentral is "partial 16S ribosomal RNA". It matches the Rfam family "Bacterial small subunit ribosomal RNA", at positions 509 to 807 of the family's 1533-position model. The record is from RNAcentral.
CAGCCGCCGCGGGAAAACGAAGGGUGCAAGCGUUAAUCGGAAUUACUGGGCGUAAAGGGUGCGUAGGUGGCUUGGUAAGUUGAAGGUGAAAUCCCGGGGCUCAACCUCGGAACUGCCUUUGAUACUCGGUGUCUUGAGUGUGGAAGAGGUAAGUGGAAUUGCGAGUGUAGAGGUGAAAUUCGUAGAUAUUCGCAGGAACACCAGUGGCGAAGGCGGCUUACUGGUCCACAACUGACGCUGAGGUGCGAAAGCGUGGGGAGCAAACAGGAUUAGAUACCCCCGUAGUCCCUGUCUCUUAUAC